Molecule: ribosomal RNA, 445 nt
Filed under: uncultured bacterium
Lineage: Bacteria
Description: SSU rRNA
Rfam family: Bacterial small subunit ribosomal RNA
Source: RNAcentral
AGAACGAACGCUGGCGGCAGGCCUAAUACAUGCAAGUCGAACGCACUCUUCGGAGUGAGUGGCAGACGGGUGAGUAACGCGUGGAAACCUUCCCAAUAGUACGGAAUAACUCCGGGAAACCGGUGCUAAUACCGUAUAAGCCCUUCGGGGGAAAGAUUUAUCGCUAUUGGAUGGGUCCGCGUCGGAUUAGCUUGUUGGUAGGGUAAUGGCCUACCAAGGCGACGAUCCGUAGCUGGUCUGAGAGGAUGAUCAGCCACACUGGGACUGAGACACGGCCCAGACUCCUACGGGAGGCAGCAGUAGGGAAUCUUGGACAAUGGGCGAAAGCCUGAUCCAGCCAUGCCGCGUGGAUGAUGAAGGCCUUAGGGUUGUAAAGUCCUUUCGGCGGGGAAGAUAAUGACGGUACCCGCAGAAGAAGCCCGGCUAACUUCGUGCCAGCAGCCGC